UACAGAGGUCUCAAGCGUUGUUCGGAUUCAUUGGGCGUAAAGGGUGCGUAGGUGGCGCCGUAAGUCGGGUGUGAAAUUUCGGAGCUUAACUCCGAAACUGCAUUCGAUACUGCGGUGCUUGAGGACUGGAGAGGAGAUUGGAAUUCACGGUGUAGCAGUGAAAUGCGUAGAUAUCAUGAGGAAUACCAGAGGCGAAGGCGGCUUACUGGUCCGGUUCUGACGCUGAGGCGCGAAAGCGUGGGGAGCAAACAGG
This 253-nucleotide ribosomal RNA is filed under the name uncultured bacterium. RNAcentral's name for it is "partial 16S ribosomal RNA". It matches the Rfam family "Bacterial small subunit ribosomal RNA", at positions 524 to 776 of the family's 1533-position model. The record is from RNAcentral.